This 576-nucleotide long non-coding RNA is filed under the name Mytilus galloprovincialis (Mediterranean mussel). The record is from RNAcentral. Lineage: Eukaryota; Metazoa; Mollusca; Bivalvia; Mytilida; Mytilidae.
UUUUCAAAUUUAAAAACAUUAAACUAAUCAUGCUAAUACAGUUUACAUGUAAUUGCUAUCAGAAUCUAAAAUUCAAUUUCUGCUCUACAAAGAUUUUUAAAUAAUAUAAAACAUAGCAAAUAUAAUAUAUCAAAACAAAAACUUGAAAUUGUAAUAUACAUUAAUAUAAUGUAAACAAUUGUGCAAGAAAAUUAAAUGUUGUAUGUUGUAAUACAUGACAAAUUAAUCUUAGAUCCUUUAAUUGCUCACAUUCAGUACACGGAUGCCCCACUCACACUAUCAUUUUCUAUGUUCAGUGGACCGUGAAAUUGGGGUCAAAACUCUUAUUUGACAUUAAAUUUAGAAAAAUCAUAUCAUAAGGAACAUGUGUACUAAGUUUCAAGUUGAACGGACGUACGGACGCACGAAUGAACAGACAGACAGACAGACGAACGGAUGUACAGACCAGAAAACAUAAUGCCCCUCUACUAUCAUAGGUGGGGCAUAAAAAUACUAAACUAAUUCUGUUAACAUCUAUAUUAUAUAAUUCUAUUAGAUUCUAAAAUACAAAUUCUACUCUACAAAGUUUAUAAAACA